UUCGCCCUUAGAGUUUGAUCUUGGCUCAGGACGAACGCUGGCGGCGUGCUUAACACAUGCAAGUCGAACGGAGUACCCUCGAAAGAGAUUUCGGUCAAUGGAGAGGACUACUUAGUGGCGGACGGGUGAGUAACGCGUGAGGAACCUGCCUUUCAGUGGGGGACAACAGUUGGAAACGACUGCUAAUACCGCAUAACGUACUGGUAUCGCAUGGUACUGGUACCAAAGAUUUAUCGCUGAGAGAUGGCCUCGCGUCUGAUUAGCUAGUUGGUAGGGUAACGGCCUACCAAGGCGACGAUCAGUAGCCGGACUGAGAGGUUGGCCGGCCACAUUGGGACUGAGAUACGGCCCAGACUCCUACGGGAGGCAGCAGUGGGGAAUAUUGGGCAAUGGGCGCAAGCCUGACCCAGCAACGCCGCGUGAAGGAAGAAGGCUUUCGGGUUGUAAACUUCUUUUGACAGGGAAGAGCAGAAGACGGUACCUGUCGAAUAAGCCACGGCUAACUACGUGCCAGCAGCCGCGGUAAUACGUAGGUGGCAAGCGUUGUCCGGAUUUACUGGGUGUAAAGGGCGUGUAGCCGGGCUGACAAGUCAGAUGUGAAAUCCGGGGGCUCAACCCCCGAACUGCAUUUGAAACUGUUGGUCUUGAGUAUCGGAGAGGCAGGCGGAAUUCCUAGUGUAGCGGUGAAAUGCGUAGAUAUUAGGAGGAACACCAGUGGCGAAGGCGGCCUGCUGGACGACAACUGACGGUGAGGCGCGAAAGCGUGGGGAGCAAACAGGAUUAGAUACCCUGGUAGUCCACGCUGUAAACGAUGGAUACUAGGUGUGCGGGGACUGACCCCCUGCGUGCCGCAGCUAACGCAAUAAGUAUCCCACCUGGGGAGUACGAUCGCAAGGUUGAAACUCAAAGGAAUUGACGGGGGCCCGCACAAGCGGUGGAUUAUGUGGUUUAAUUCGAUGCAACGCGAAGAACCUUACCAGGGCUUGACAUCCUACUAACGAAGUAGAGAUACAUUAGGUACCCUUCGGGGGAAGUAGAGACAGGUGGUGCAUGGUUGUCGUCAGCUCGUGUCGUGAGAUGUUGGGUUAAGUCCCGCAACGACCGCAACCCUUAUUGUUAGUUGCUACGCAAGAGCACUCUAGCGAGACUGCCGUUGACAAAACGGAGGAAGGUGGGGACGACGUCAAAUCAUCAUGCCCCUUAUGUCCUGGGCUACACACGUAAUACAAUGGCGGUCAACAGAGGGAUGCAAAACCGUGAGGUGGAGCGAACCCCUAAAAGCCGUCCCAGUUCAGAUCGCAGUCUGCAACCCGACUGCGUGAAGUCGGAAUCGCUAGUAAUCGCGGAUCAGCAUGCCGCGGUGAAUGCGUUCCCGGGCCUUGCACACACCGCCCGUCA
This 1398-nucleotide ribosomal RNA is filed under the name uncultured bacterium. Its description in RNAcentral is "16S ribosomal RNA". It matches the Rfam family "Bacterial small subunit ribosomal RNA". The record is from RNAcentral.